CGAUAUGGCGGCUGUGCGUGGGGCACUUUCGGGUGCGCCGGGUUGUUUGAUUCCUGGUCUGCUAACCCGCGCACGGUCGCCACCCUA
Molecule: non-coding RNA, 87 nt
Filed under: Pseudomonas synxantha
Lineage: Bacteria; Pseudomonadati; Pseudomonadota; Gammaproteobacteria; Pseudomonadales; Pseudomonadaceae
Source: RNAcentral